Hippocampus comes (tiger tail seahorse) is the source of this 234-nucleotide long non-coding RNA. RefSeq lists it as uncharacterized. The record is from RefSeq and is a predicted model, not a curated record. The transcript is spliced from 3 exons. Lineage: Eukaryota; Metazoa; Chordata; Actinopteri; Syngnathiformes; Syngnathidae.
AUGAAAUCAUUUCCUGUCCGCCUACCAGGCAGAUGAGCGGCGUGAAAAACUUCCAACACAGCUUCCACCAAACGCAGGGAACAGAAGAAUUGGGAUGCGCGGCCAUCACACCGACAGGAAGUGAAAAUAUGGAGCCAGCUAUAAUCUCCCUAGAAAUUCUUUUGCCAUCUCUGUUCAAUGCAGAACACAAACAGGCCGCCGAGCGCCAACCAGGACCCACCACUGUGAACGACG